Molecule: ribosomal RNA, 439 nt
Filed under: uncultured bacterium
Lineage: Bacteria
Description: bacterial SSU rRNA
Rfam family: Bacterial small subunit ribosomal RNA
Source: RNAcentral
GCAUAACGCGAAGAACCUUACCAAGGCUUGACAUACACCAGAACACCCUAGAAAUAGGGGACUCUUUGGACACUGGUGAACAGGUGGUGCAUGGUUGUCGUCAGCUCGUGUCGUGAGAUGUUGGGUUAAGUCCCGCAACGAGCGCAACCCUCGUUCUAUGUUGCCAGCACGUAAUGGUGGGAACUCAUGGGAUACUGCCGGGGUCAACUCGGAGGAAGGUGGGGAUGACGUCAAAUCAUCAUGCCCCUUAUGUCUUGGGCUUCACGCAUGCUACAAUGGCCGGUACAAAGGGCUGCAAUACCGUGAGGUGGAGCGAAUCCCAAAAAGCCGGUCCCAGUUCGGAUUGAGGUCUGCAACUCGACCUCAUGAAGUCGGAGUCGCUAGUAAUCGCAGAUCAGCAACGCUGCGGUGAAUACGUUCCCGGGUCUUGUACACACCG